This 1076-nucleotide ribosomal RNA is filed under the name uncultured organism. RNAcentral describes it as "bacterial SSU rRNA". It matches the Rfam family "Bacterial small subunit ribosomal RNA", at positions 34 to 1099 of the family's 1533-position model. The record is from RNAcentral.
CGCUGGCGGCGUGCUUAACACAUGCAAGUCAAGGAGAAGGAUAUCUUCGGAUAUCUGAUACCUGGCGGAUGGGUGAUACGCGUAGCACUACUUCAGUUGGGAUAACACUGCUAACGCGGUGCUAAUACCGGAUGGUGCAUAUACACUGCAUGGUGUAUAUGUUAAAGCUGGCCACUGAUAUAAGCUAGUACCUGUAGAUGGGCUUGCGUUUCAUUAGUUAGUUGGUGGGGUAAUGGCUCACCAAGGCGACGAUGGAUAGCCGGCCUGAGAGGGUGAUCGGCCACACUGGGACUGAGAUACGGCCCAGACUCCUACGGGAGGCAGCAGUGAGGAAUAUUGCGCAAUGGCAGAAAUGCUGACGCAGCAACGCCGCGUGAGGGAUGAAGCUUUUCGGAGUGUAAACCUUUGUUAGGAGGGACGAACGGGCAUAAUACGAAUAGGGUUAUGCCGUGACGGUACCUCCAGAGGAAGCCCCGGCUAACUCCGUGCCAGCAGCCGCGGUAAUACGGGGGGGGCAAGCGUUGUCCGGAAUCAUUGGGCGUAAAGGGCGCGUAUGCUGACAGGUCAGUCUGUGGUGCAAUCUUGUGGCUUAACCGUAAGUUUGCCAUGGAAACUACCUGUCUUGAGAUCGGAAGGGGGAAGCGGAAUUCCUGGUGUAGCGGUGAAAUGCGUAGAUAUCAGGAAGAACACCGGUGGCGAAGGCGGCUUCCUGGUCCGAGACUGACGCUGAUGCGCGAAAGCGUGGGGAGCGAACAGGAUUAGAUACCCUGGUAGUCCACGCUGUAAACGAUGGGCACUAGGUGUUGGGCGUCAAGUUCAGCGCCGGAGCAAACGCAUUAAGUGCCCCGCCUGGGGAAUACGAUCGCAAGAUUGAAACUCAAAGGAAUUGACGGGGGCCCGCACAAGCGGUGGAGCAUGUGGUUUAAUUCGAUGCAACGCGAAGAACCUUACCUGGGCUUGAACUGCAGAGGCACGUACCCUGAAAGGGGUAUUUCCUUCGGGACUUCUGUAGAGGUGCUGCAUGGCUGUCGUCAGCUCGUGCCGUGAGGUGUUGGGUUAAGUCCCGCAACGAGCGC